Bombina bombina (fire-bellied toad) is the source of this 298-nucleotide long non-coding RNA. RefSeq lists it as uncharacterized. NCBI's taxonomy places the organism in Eukaryota, Metazoa, Chordata, Amphibia, Anura, Bombinatoridae. The record is from RefSeq and is a predicted model, not a curated record. The transcript is spliced from 4 exons.
CAUUGUAGGAGAUUCUGCAGGACCCGUGGCUUAAUAUUCUGUCCAAUACUGACCUGCCGAGUCCACCUAUGGAGCCAGAACAAGACCAUCUGGUUCCUCUUUCCACAGCUUGUCCAGUCAUAGGGGAAGAGCCUGAGAACAUCAGCAGGCAGGAGACACCAUCACCCCCUUGUAUGGACAACGUACUUACACCUGUGGCAAGUGACAUUUCUUGUCUGCCUCAACCAGAUUUAAUGCUGGAGGAGGAGCAUAACACCGUGAGCAGUAACAGCAGCUCACCUAUUACAGAUGUCCCCAG